CGGCGCUGUAGAACGGGUUCGUCAGGUCGCCGCUGAUGAGGCCGACGAGCGCGGAGGUGGCACCCCGGCGCAGUUCCCGGGCGAUGCCGU
RNAcentral lists this transfer RNA (90 nucleotides) under Couchioplanes azureus. RNAcentral describes it as "Couchioplanes caeruleus subsp. azureus tRNA-Ala". The record is from RNAcentral. Lineage: Bacteria; Bacillati; Actinomycetota; Actinomycetes; Micromonosporales; Micromonosporaceae.